This 1171-nucleotide ribosomal RNA is filed under the name Microcerotermes progrediens. RNAcentral describes it as "16S ribosomal RNA". The stretch from base 699 to 1101 matches the Rfam family "Bacterial large subunit ribosomal RNA", at positions 2049 to 2651 of the family's 2925-position model. Lineage: Eukaryota; Metazoa; Arthropoda; Insecta; Blattodea; Termitidae. The record is from RNAcentral.
UGUGUGGAUUGUCUUGUUUGUGUUAAGUUGUGGUUUUAUUAUUUUAAUUGAAGAAUCAUUGUGGUUAUUGUAUUUUUGUGAUUUAAUUUUUUAUACGAUAGAUUAUUUGUACCGUGAGGGGUUGAGAUUUGUUAGUGUUUUUUGAAAAGUUGACUUUUUUUGUCGUACCUUGUGUAUCAGGGUUCAUUGAAUUUUAUUAUUUAUUUUUAUUUCCCGAUUUUAAAGGAGUUAAUGGUUUAUGUUAGUUACUGUUUCAUCAGUAUUAAUGAUAUAUUGUUGGUAGUGAAAUGCUAUUCGUCUUUAGUGGUUUCUGGUUUUUCAAGAAAUGAAUUUAAUUCAUGCAUCUUAUUUAAUUUCUGUUGUUGUUUUACUUAUUUUUAUUUGAUGUUAAGAUUAGGGGGGAUUAGCUCCUUGUUUUAGUUUUUAUAAUUAUUUAUUUUGAUUUAGUUUUGUGGAUUUUAUAUUGAUUUUCAAUUUGAUUAUGUUAAAAUUUUGUUAUUUCUUUUGUUUAUUUUUUGUAGUUUAAGUAUUUAUUGGNNNNNNNNNNNNNNNNNNNNCUGACGUUUAUAAGGUUGAAGGGCCGCGGUAUUUUGACCGUGCAAAGGUAGCAUAAUCAUUAGUUCUUUAAUUGUGAUCUGGUAUGAAUGGCUUGACGAGACAUGAGCUGUCUUAGAGGUAUUUUUUAUUGAAUUUGGUCUUUGAGUUAAAAUUCUUAGAUGUUUUUAUGGGACGAGAAGACCCUAUAGAGUUUGACAUUUAAUCCUUCUCUUGUGUUGUGUUAGUUUAUUUGUUUUUAUGAGUUGGUUAAAUGUUUUGUUGGGGUGAUGAGAGGAAUAAGAUUUAACUCCUCUUUGAUUUUGUAUAUUUAUUUAUAUUUGUUUUGAUCCAUUUAUUUUGAUUAUAAGAUUAAAUUACCUUAGGGAUAACAGCGUUAUCUUCCCUGAGAGUUCUUAUUGGCGGGGAGGUUUGCGACCUCGAUGUUGGAUUAAGGUGAAUUUUCGGUGCAGGAGCUGAAAGUGAUUAGGUCUGUUCGACCUUUAAAAUCUUACAUGAUCUGAGUUCAGACCGGCGUGAGCCAGGUUGGUUUCUAUCUAUAAUAAUAUUUUAUACCUUAGUACGAGAGGACCGGGUAUUUGGAAUAAUUUUAGUUUAUUUGAUUUUCACUAAUUUG